UAACAUUUUCAGCUACCAUAAAAUGUAAGA
This 30-nucleotide non-coding RNA is filed under the name Rattus norvegicus (Norway rat). Lineage: Eukaryota; Metazoa; Chordata; Mammalia; Rodentia; Muridae. The record is from RNAcentral.